UGGGGAAAUGGCUGAGUGGUCAAAAGCGACGGAUUGCUAAUCCGUUACCCCUUUAAGGGGUACAAGGGUUCGAAUCCCUUUUUCUCCGA
Molecule: transfer RNA, 89 nt
Filed under: Caulerpa manorensis
Lineage: Eukaryota; Viridiplantae; Chlorophyta; Ulvophyceae; Bryopsidales; Caulerpaceae
Description: tRNA-Ser
Rfam family: tRNA
About the family: Transfer RNA (tRNA) molecules are approximately 80 nucleotides in length.
Source: RNAcentral